RNAcentral lists this ribosomal RNA (252 nucleotides) under uncultured Bacteroidales bacterium. Its description in RNAcentral is "partial 16S ribosomal RNA". It matches the Rfam family "Bacterial small subunit ribosomal RNA", at positions 524 to 776 of the family's 1533-position model. The record is from RNAcentral. Lineage: Bacteria; Pseudomonadati; Bacteroidota; Bacteroidia; Bacteroidales.
UACGGAGGAUGCGAGCGUUAUCCGGAUUUAUUGGGUUUAAAGGGUGCGUAGGCGGGACCUUAAGUCAGCGGUAAAAUUGCGGUGCUCAACGCCGUAGAGCCGUUGAAACUGGGGUUCUUGAGUGAGCGAGAAGUAUGCGGAAUGCGCAGUGUAGCGGUGAAAUGCUUAGAUAUUGCGCAGAACUCCGAUUGCGAAGGCAGCAUACCGGCGGCGAUCUGACGCUGAGGCACGAAAGCGUGGGUAUCGAACAGG